CAGCCGCCGCGGGAAUACGUAGGUGGCAAGCGUUGUCCGGAAUUAUUGGGCGUAAAGGGCUCGCAGGCGGUUUCUUAAGUCUGAUGUGAAAGCCCCCGGCUAACCGGGGAGGGUCAUUGGAAACUGGGAAACUUGAGUGCAGAAGAGGAGAGUGGAAUUCCACGUGUAGCGGUGAAAUGCGUAGAGAUGUGGAGGAACACCAGUGGCGAAGGCGACUCUCUGGUCUGUAACUGACGCUGAGGGGCGAAAGCGUGGGGAGCGAACAGGAUUAGAUACCCGUGUAGUCCCUGUCUCUUAUACA
Molecule: ribosomal RNA, 301 nt
Filed under: uncultured bacterium
Lineage: Bacteria
Description: partial 16S ribosomal RNA
Rfam family: Bacterial small subunit ribosomal RNA
Source: RNAcentral